Canis lupus familiaris (dog) is the source of this 1754-nucleotide long non-coding RNA. RefSeq lists it as uncharacterized. Lineage: Eukaryota; Metazoa; Chordata; Mammalia; Carnivora; Canidae. The transcript is spliced from 4 exons. The record is from RefSeq and is a predicted model, not a curated record.
ACAAUGGAGGUCACACAGCAGCGACACCUCUGACCUCCGACAGGGCCAGCCUGACACCAGGCGCCCACGCCAGGUGCGCGGCUGACGCCGCCCUCCCGCCAGUGAAGAGUAGAGGCCUCGACAGUCCCCAGCCUCCCCAACAUCUUCUACUUUUCAAGGCGCGAGUCUGCGGCCUGGACAAGCCCGACAGCCACUCACGUGUAGGACUCAGGCCCCGCCCUUGGAGCCCCUCGCCGCGCACUUCUCCCGGGUCCUCACCUCCAGUCUGGUCGAAUCCGCCCCAAGCCGGUGUCAGGCCGCCCGGAAUCCCCGACCCCUCACGCCCGAACUCCCGCCAACUCACCACCCGCCAGCCAACUUCGGCCGGAAGUGGCAAAUGCCGCAGAGACCCCAGGAAAAUGUAGUCCAGGGCAGGAAACAUGCAGCCCCUCUGCCAAGCGUCGCCUCGCGUUCCUAGGCUUCAGCGAAGGCCAGUACCGACAGCCCGGCCUCGCCUGAGCAUCCUGAGGACCGGGGCGAGCGACAGGUCCAAGCAGCGAGAGCAGGCUGCUGAGGAGUAAAAAAAAGUGGACCGUGGAGGCUCCUGGGAAACGUAGCCCACCGUGGAGGAAAGGGGGGGCGGGUCGGCCACCUGUACAUCCCGAGCCCUCAAAGUUGACCCGUGUGCAACAGCCCUCGCUCCAAACCGGGAAGUGCUCAGAGGCCUCUAGGAACGGCAGUUAAAAGCUGAAAAGCAGACAGUCCAGAGUCCUUCUCCACAAGGAGCCACCGCGCUCUGAGAGCGGGAUCAGGAGCAGACGACUCCCGGCUACACCAAGAACUAAUUGGCCUCCUGGACCCGGGCUGUUCAGCCCGUCCCACGAUCCUUCCUGGUCGAGUUUGCGUGUUCAGGUUUCGGCUGAGAAUUCGUUCCCAGUUCCCGGCGCCCCCCCAAAGCGCAGCACUCCCUUAGUCGGUAACCCUCCUGUGCAGCAGCCAAGUGUCCCUGCAGACACAUUUGAAGCAGGCUCCCCUAUGGGGCGCCCGGUGCAGGACUGGAUCCUAGGACCCCAGGAUCAUGCCCUGAGCCGAAGGCAGAUGCUCAACUACUGAGCCACCCAGGUGCCUGGGAAUGACACUUUAUAAGAGACUCAAGAUUUUAUUUAUUUAGAGAAAGAGCACGUGCGAGCAGGGACAGGGGCAGAAGGAGAGGGAGAGAGAGAAUCUCAAGCAGGCUCUGCACCAAGUGGGGAACCCUAUGGGGGGCCAAUCCCAUGACCCUGAGAUCUUGACUGAAGCCAAAAUCAAGCAUCGGAAGCCCAACUGACUGAGCCACCCAGUUGGACUGUUUCCAUUUUUUGGCUAUUCUGAAUAUGCUGCUAUGAACACUGGUGUACAAGGAUCAAUUUGAGCCCCUGGUUUCGAUUCUUCUGGAUGUCUACUUAGGUACAGAAAUGCAGAAACAUAUGGUAAUUAGAAGUUUAACUUAUUGAGGAACUGCCAAACUGUCUUCCUCAGCAGCUAUACAAUUUUACCUUCUAACCAACAAUGCACAAGGUUUCCAAUUUCUUUCUUUUUUUUUUUUUUAGGUUUCCAAUUUCUGCACAUCCUCAUCAAACACAGGUUUUGUUACGUAGAUAACACAUGAAUUUUGAAAACUAUUUUUGAAAAUAAAAGUCUACAAAAAUUAGAUGUGUUGGCAAAAUUGGACUUAGCAUAAAACCUAUUAAAGAAUACGCUAUGAAAUGACAAUACUCAUUUAGAUACUUAAGUUU